AGUUUGUCACAGGGCACUGAACACAGUUCCCUGAGCCACACUGCAGGACCGUGUUGCCUGUCCAUCAUGCGUGUAAUGGUUUGCUCUGCUAAUUCCACUUUCCAGUCCUUCCUCCCCCACCCCCUGAAGUCCUCUGGUUUGGACUCGAUGCCGGGGACCCCUCUUCCUCUGGAGGGGUGCCCGCAGUCCAGCUGACUAAGCCUGGGCCUCACACGGUGAGUUGACUUCUCUGGUAAAACAGGAGCCACAUAAGGCACAGGCACUGACGGCAUGGUGCAGGGAGCAGUGCUGGGUCAGGGGCCAGGGGCCCGGGACCACCACCCGAGGCAGGCGCCCUGGGGAGCACAGCUGUGCCCCGGGGAGGCUUGCCUGAGGCUGAGAGUCACGAGCUCUGGGUUCACCAGUUUGCUGCCUUUAGAGAAGUCUCCAGACCGUGCAUUUAGGUUUCACAGCUUUCCCUUUUCCAUGUUAAUAACCAGAUGAAAAUUUUCCUGAAAGAUUAUAGGAGAUGGCAUGUCUGAAGCAAGUGCAAGUAGUAAAAGCCGUGCAGGAGUUAAGUUAUAACUAGGGCUCGGAGAGACCAGGUGAGGGGGUGACGGCAGGUGUGGUGGGUGAGGGUCUCUGUGGUCUCCUGGGGUCAGGUGAAGGGAGGUGCCCACAGGUUUGGUGGGUGAGGGUCUCCAUGGUCUCCUGGGGUCAGGUGAAGGGAGGUGCCCACAGGUGUGGUGGGUGAGGGUCUCCAUGGUUCCUGGGGUCAGGUGAAGGGAGGUGCCUGCAGGUGUGGUGGGUGAGGGUCUCCAUGGUCUCCUGGGGUCAGGUGAAGGGAGGUGCCCACAGGUGUGGUGGGUGAGGGUCUCCGCAGUUCCUGGGGUCAGGUGAAGGGAGGUGCCCGCAGGUUUGGUGGGUAAGGGUCUCCAUGGUCUCCUGGGUCAGGUGAAGGGAGGUGCCCACAGGUUUGGGUGGGUGAGGGUCUCCAUGGUCUUCUGGGAUCAGGUGAAGGGAGGUGCCCGCAGGUUUGGUGGGUGAGGGUCUCCAUGGUCUUCUGGGAUCAGGUAGGUCCCUAGCCCUCCCCUCAGCUUCAGCGCCCGAGCAGGACACCCUGGAGCCUGAAGGUCCCAUGUCGGAUGCUCAAAUGGC
Long non-coding RNA from Bos taurus (domestic cattle), 1137 nucleotides. NCBI's taxonomy places the organism in Eukaryota, Metazoa, Chordata, Mammalia, Artiodactyla, Bovidae. The record is from Ensembl.